GCCUGGCUGGCUCCGUUGGUGGAGCAUGUGACUCCUGAUCUUGGGGUUGUGGGUUUGAGCCCCACGUUGGGUG
Non-coding RNA from Ailuropoda melanoleuca (giant panda), 73 nucleotides. NCBI's taxonomy places the organism in Eukaryota, Metazoa, Chordata, Mammalia, Carnivora, Ursidae. The record is from Rfam.